RNAcentral lists this transfer RNA (71 nucleotides) under Marmota marmota marmota (Alpine marmot). It matches the Rfam family "tRNA". From Rfam's summary of the family: Transfer RNA (tRNA) molecules are approximately 80 nucleotides in length. Their secondary structure includes four short double-helical elements and three loops (D, anti-codon, and T loops). Lineage: Eukaryota; Metazoa; Chordata; Mammalia; Rodentia; Sciuridae. RNAcentral also lists the same sequence under 1 other name. The record is from Rfam by way of RNAcentral.
GCGGUUGUGGCUCAGUGGUAGAGCGCUCGUCUAGCAUGCGUGAGGCACUAAGUUCGAUCCUUAGCACCACA